GUGUAGUGGAAUAGCAAAGUAGCUAACUCUAGUCAGUCUUAGCUGAACUCAGAAGCUAAAUAGGGUGGUGCUUGUUUAGUACUUGAAUGGGAGACUGCUUGGGAAGACCAGACUCCGUAAGCC
This is a ribosomal RNA of Salvator merianae (Argentine black and white tegu), 123 nucleotides long. NCBI's taxonomy places the organism in Eukaryota, Metazoa, Chordata, Lepidosauria, Squamata, Teiidae. The record is from Ensembl.